This 1149-nucleotide ribosomal RNA is filed under the name Escherichia coli. Its description in RNAcentral is "partial 23S ribosomal RNA". It matches the Rfam family "Bacterial large subunit ribosomal RNA", at positions 1 to 1191 of the family's 2925-position model. Lineage: Bacteria; Pseudomonadati; Pseudomonadota; Gammaproteobacteria; Enterobacterales; Enterobacteriaceae. The record is from RNAcentral.
GGUUAAGCGACUAAGCGUACACGGUGGAUGCCCUGGCAGUCAGAGGCGAUGAAGGACGUGCUAAUCUGCGAUAAGCGUCGGUAAGGUGAUAUGAACCGUUAUAACCGGCGAUUUCCGAAUGGGGAAACCCAGUGUGAUUCGUCACACUAUCAUUAACUGAAUCCAUAGGUUAAUGAGGCGAACCGGGGGAACUGAAACAUCUAAGUACCCCGAGGAAAAGAAAUCAACCGAGAUUCCCCCAGUAGCGGCGAGCGAACGGGGAGGAGCCCAGAGCCUGAAUCAGUGUGUGUGUUAGUGGAAGCGUCUGGAAAGGCGCGCGAUACAGGGUGACAGCCCCGUACACAAAAAUGCACAUAUUGUGAGCUCGAUGAGUAGGGCGGGACACGUGGUAUCCUGUCUGAAUAUGGGGGGACCAUCCUCCAAGGCUAAAUACUCCUGACUGACCGAUAGUGAACCAGUACCGUGAGGGAAAGGCGAAAAGAACCCCGGCGAGGGGAGUGAAAAAGAACCUGAAACCGUGUACGUACAAGCAGUGGGAGCACGCUUAGGCGUGUGACUGCGUACCUUUUGUAUAAUGGGUCAGCGACUUAUAUUCUGUAGCAAGGUUAACCGAAUAGGGGAGCCGAAGGGAAACCGAGUCUUAACUGGGCGUUAAGUUGCAGGGUAUAGACCCGAAACCCGGUGAUCUAGCCAUGGGCAGGUUGAAGGUUGGGUAACACUAACUGGAGGACCGAACCGACUAAUGUUGAAAAAUUAGCGGAUGACUUGUGGCUGGGGGUGAAAGGCCAAUCAAACCGGGAGAUAGCUGGUUCUCCCCGAAAGCUAUUUAGGUAGCGCCUCGUGAAUUCAUCUCCGGGGGUAGAGCACUGUUUCGGCAAGGGGGUCAUCCCGACUUACCAACCCGAUGCAAACUGCGAAUACCGGAGAAUGUUAUCACGGGAGACACACGGCGGGUGCUAACGUCCGUCGUGAAGAGGGAAACAACCCAGACCGCCAGCUAAGGUCCCAAAGUCAUGGUUAAGUGGGAAACGAUGUGGGAAGGCCCAGACAGCCAGGAUGUUGGCUUAGAAGCAGCCAUCAUUUAAAGAAAGCGUAAUAGCUCACUGGUCGAGUCGGCCUGCGCGGAAGAUGUAACGGGGCUAAACCAUG